Molecule: ribosomal RNA, 446 nt
Filed under: uncultured bacterium
Lineage: Bacteria
Description: partial 16S ribosomal RNA
Rfam family: Bacterial small subunit ribosomal RNA
Source: RNAcentral
CCUACGGGUGGCUGCAGUCGAGAAUCAUUCACAAUGGGCGAAACCCUGAUGGUGCGACGCCGCGUGGGGGCCUUCCGUUCUUCGGCUUGUCCCCCCCUGUCCUGUGGGAGCAAAUUAAAAAGAUAGUCCCACAAGAGGACGAGACGGCUAACUCUGUGCCAGCAGCCGCGGUCCUACAGAGGUCUCAAGCGUUUCUCGGAAUCACUGGGCGUAAAGCGUUCGUAGGCUGUUUCGUAAGUCGUGUGUGAAAGGCGCGGGCUCAACCCGCGGACGGCACAUGACACUGCGAGACUAGAGUAAUGGAGGGGGAACCGGAAUUCGCGGUGUAGAAGUGAAAUGCGUAGAUAUCGAGAGGAACACUCGUGGCGAAGGCGGGUUCCUGGACAUUAACUGACGCUGAGGCACGAAGGCCAGGGGAGCGAAAGGGAUUAGAUACCCGGGUAGUC